Molecule: long non-coding RNA, 798 nt
Filed under: Apteryx rowi (Okarito brown kiwi)
Lineage: Eukaryota; Metazoa; Chordata; Aves; Apterygiformes; Apterygidae
Description: lncRNA (ENSARWG00000013756.1)
Source: RNAcentral
GCCCUCCACGUCCCCCCAGACGUCCCCGCGUCGCCCCCGCGCCGCCGACGCGCCGCCUGCCCGCAGACCCCUUCUCCUUCGACCUCCCCGAGGACGUCCGCGACGGCUUCGCCACCUCCCUCUCCGGCGUCCUGGGGCUGGUGGGCGCCGGCGCCGACAAAGGUGGGAGCCGACGGGGCCCCGGCGUCCGGGGGGGGGGCUCAGGCGUCCGGGCAAGGGGGGGGGGUGCCGUGCUGACGGCCCCGGCCCGCAGGGGAGUCCCUGGGCCGCCGCAUCGUGCUCAGCCGCGCCGGGACGCUCCACGUCUACUUCCUGCUGGACGCCUCCAAGAGUGUCGACGAGGGGAACUUCCGCCUCUUCAAGGAGUGCGUGGCCGCCGUGGUGGACCGGAUCAGCAGCUUCGAGGUGCCCGUCCGCUUCGCCGUCGUCUCCUACGCCAGCCAGGCCCGGGUCAUCGUCUCCACGUCCGACGACGAGGCCAGCGACGCCGACGAGGUCCUCGGCAAGGUGGAGGCCAUGAAGUUCGGAGAUCACGGGGAGGCGACAGGGACCAACAUCCACGGGGCGCUCAUGGAGGUCUACCACAUGAUCCUCUUCCAGCGGGAGCGGGCGGCGCGGCAGGGCCGGCCCGCGGCCUGGAGGAGCGUCCGGCACGCCGUCCUCCUGCUGACGGACGGCAAGUUCAACGUGGGCGGACGCCCCAGCGACGCCGUGGCCAAGAUUGAAGACRUCCUGGAGAUCAAGCCGGACCGGGCCGACUACCUGGGUGGGUGCUCCCGGCCCCUUUUAGCAACUUCC